RNAcentral lists this ribosomal RNA (601 nucleotides) under Pantoea sp. ST12.14/149. RNAcentral describes it as "bacterial SSU rRNA". It matches the Rfam family "Bacterial small subunit ribosomal RNA", at positions 632 to 1233 of the family's 1533-position model. The record is from RNAcentral. Lineage: Bacteria; Pseudomonadati; Pseudomonadota; Gammaproteobacteria; Enterobacterales; Erwiniaceae.
ACUGGCAAGCUUGAGUCUUGUAGAGGGGGGUAGAAUUCCAGGUGUAGCGGUGAAAUGCGUAGAGAUCUGGAGGAAUACCGGUGGCGAAGGCGGCCCCCUGGACAAAUACUGACGCUCAGGUGCGAAAGCGUGGGGAGCAAACAGGAUUAGAUACCCUGGUAGUCCACGCCGUAAACGAUGUCGACUUGGAGGUUGUGCCCUUGAGGAGUGGCUUCCGGAGCUAACGCGUUAAGUCGACCGCCUGGGGAGUACGGCCGCAAGGUUAAAACUCAAAUGAAUUGACGGGGGCCCGCACAAGCGGUGGAGCAUGUGGUUUAAUUCGAUGCAACGCGAAGAACCUUACCUACUCUUGACAUCCAGAGAACUUAGCAGAGAUGCAUUGGUGCCUUCGGGAACUCUGAGACAGGUGCUGCAUGGCUGUCGUCAGCUCGUGUUGUGAAAUGUUGGGUUAAGUCCCGCAACGAGCGCAACCCUUAUCCUUUGUUGCCAGCGAUUCGGUCGGGAACUCAAAAGAGACUGCCCGUGAUAAACCGGAAGAAGGUGGGGAUGACGUCAAGUCAUCCUGGCCCUUACGAGUAGGGCUACACACGUGCUACAAUGG